AUUGAACGCUGGCGGCAGGCUUAACACAUGCAAGUCGAGCGAGCGGCGGACGGGUGAGUAAUGUCUGGGAAACUGCCUGAUGGAGGGGGCUCACUACUGGAAACGGUAGCUAAUACCGCAUACCAUCAGAUGUGCCCAGAUGGGAUUAGCUAGUAGGUGGGGUAAUGGCUCACCUAGGCGACGAUCCCUAGCUGGUCUGAGAGGAUGACGAGCCACACUGGAACUGAUGAACGGUCAAGACUCCAACGGGAGGCAGCAGUGGGGAAUAUUGCACAAUGGGCGGAAGCCUGAUGCAGCCAGGCCGCGUGGGUGACGAAGGCCUUCGGGUUGUAAAGCACUUGCAGCGAGGAGGCGUUACUCGCAGAAGAAGCACCGGCUAACUCCGUGCCAGCCGCCGCGGUAAUAC
Molecule: ribosomal RNA, 406 nt
Filed under: uncultured bacterium
Lineage: Bacteria
Description: partial 16S ribosomal RNA
Rfam family: Bacterial small subunit ribosomal RNA
Source: RNAcentral